RNAcentral lists this ribosomal RNA (1463 nucleotides) under uncultured Klebsiella sp. RNAcentral describes it as "bacterial SSU rRNA". It matches the Rfam family "Bacterial small subunit ribosomal RNA". Lineage: Bacteria; Pseudomonadati; Pseudomonadota; Gammaproteobacteria; Enterobacterales; Enterobacteriaceae. The record is from RNAcentral.
AUUGAACGCUGGCGGCAGGCCUAACACAUGCAAGUCGAGCGGUAGCACAGAGAGCUUGCUCUCGGGUGACGAGCGGCGGACGGGUGAGUAAUGUCUGGGAAACUGCCUGAUGGAGGGGGAUAACUACUGGAAACGGUAGCUAAUACCGCAUAACGUCGCAAGACCAAAGUGGGGGACCUUCGGGCCUCAUGCCAUCAGAUGUGCCCAGAUGGGAUUAGCUGGUAGGUGGGGUAACGGCCCACCUAGGCGACGAUCCCUAGCUGGUCUGAGAGGAUGACCAGCCACACUGGAACUGAGACACGGUCCAGACUCCUACGGGAGGCAGCAGUGGGGAAUAUUGCACAAUGGGCGCAAGCCUGAUGCAGCCAUGCCGCGUGUGUGAAGAAGGCCUUCGGGUUGUAAAGCACUUUCAGCGGGGAGGAAGGCGGUGAGGUUAAUAACCUUGUCGAUUGACGUUACCCGCAGAAGAAGCACCGGCUAACUCCGUGCCAGCAGCCGCGGUAAUACGGAGGGUGCAAGCGUUAAUCGGAAUUACUGGGCGUAAAGCGCACGCAGGCGGUCUGUCAAGUCGGAUGUGAAAUCCCCGGGCUCAACCUGGGAACUGCAUUCGAAACUGGCAGGCUAGAGUCUUGUAGAGGGGGGUAGAAUUCCAGGUGUAGCGGUGAAAUGCGUAGAGAUCUGGAGGAAUACCGGUGGCGAAGGCGGCCCCCUGGACAAAGACUGACGCUCAGGUGCGAAAGCGUGGGGAGCAAACAGGAUUAGAUACCCUGGUAGCCCACGCUGUAAACGAUGUCGAUUUGGAGGUUGUGCCCUUGAGGCGUGGCUUCCGGAGCUAACGCGUUAAAUCGACCGCCUGGGGAGUACGGCCGCAAGGUUAAAGCUCAAAUGAAUUGACGGGGGCCCGCACAAGCGGUGGAGCAUGUGGUUUAAUUCGAUGCAACGCGAAGAACCUUACCUGGUCUUGACAUCCACAGAACUUAGCAGAGAUGCUUUGGUGCCUUCGGGAACUGUGAGACAGGUGCUGCAUGGCUGUCGUCAGCUCGUGUUGUGAAAUGUUGGGUUAAGUCCCGCAACGAGCGCAACCCUUAUCCUUUGUUGCCAGCGGUUAGGCCGGGAACUCAAAGGAGACUGCCAGUGAUAAACUGGAGGAAGGUGGGGAUGACGUCAAGUCAUCAUGGCCCUUACGACCAGGGCUACACACGUGCUACAAUGGCAUAUACAAAGAGAAGCGACCUCGCGAGAGCAAGCGGACCUCAUAAAGUAUGUCGUAGUCCGGAUUGGAGUCUGCAACUCGACUCCAUGAAGUCGGAAUCGCUAGUAAUCGUAGAUCAGAAUGCUACGGUGAAUACGUUCCCGGGCCUUGUACACACCGCCCGUCACACCAUGGGAGUGGGUUGCAAAAGAAGUAGGUAGCUUAACCUUCGGGAGGGCGCUUACCACUUUGUGAUUCAUGACUGGGGUGA